UCAGAUAUGGGUGGAAUGGUGAUGGUAAUCAUGAACACCCAUCAAAUUCAGUUAUGUCUGGCU
Molecule: microRNA precursor, 63 nt
Filed under: Tribolium castaneum (red flour beetle)
Lineage: Eukaryota; Metazoa; Arthropoda; Insecta; Coleoptera; Tenebrionidae
Description: Tca-Mir-11630_pre stem-loop
Source: RNAcentral